Long non-coding RNA from Carassius auratus (goldfish), 410 nucleotides. RefSeq lists it as uncharacterized. The record is from RefSeq and is a predicted model, not a curated record. NCBI's taxonomy places the organism in Eukaryota, Metazoa, Chordata, Actinopteri, Cypriniformes, Cyprinidae. The transcript has 2 exons.
AGAGUUAUAUACAAAGUGUGUCUCCACUUGCAAAUAAUGAUAUAUCAAAUAAUCACAUUUACAAAUGACUAGAUGGAAAAAUGUUUAUCAGAGCUUCCUAUUGGCUGGCUGGUUCUACGUGCUGUGUACGCCCCUGUUGCGUUCGUCAGUUCAUUUGUAAAAAGGCCAGUGGUAAGUUGUGUGUUUGGUAGCUCUGAAAUUCUGUCUGUUACUGUCUACAAAAUGUGUGAGACAUCAUGAGCAACAGCAUGUAUUCGAUAUCAAGACAAGUGCUAGACAUUGGGGAAGAGUGUAAAAGAUGUUUGUUUUAUUUUAGCGUGCCAGCACGAGGAGUGUCGAAUAUGCUGGAACUGAUCAACUCACUCUGUGUUAUCCUGUUUUCUCAGUGAAUAAAAAAACAAAGGCUGGGA